CUUACAUUCUAGGAAGAUUCUACACCAAAAAGCAGGGAGAAGCUGUAAGAUUAAAUGAUGGCUAAAUUAAUCAAAGGUUGUACCUUUAGUUGGGCUUCCCCCGUGGCUCAGAUGGUAAAAGAAUUCUCCUGCAGUGCAGAAGAUGCAGGAGAUGCAGGUUCGAUCCCUGGGUCAGGAAGAUACCCUGGAGGAGGAAAUGGCAACCCACUCCUGUAUUCUUGCCUUGGAAAUCCCAUGGACAGAGGAGCCUGGCAGGCUCCAGUCUCUGGGGUCACAAAGAGUUGGACACGACUGAGCACAUAUGCACAUAUCUUUAAUUUCUUUAAAGGGAGUUCACUACUGUGUGAUUAAAUUAAUAAUUGUUGUCUUUCACUAUCUUAGAUCUGGAAGAAGUUCCCUUCUAAAUACAUACUAUUUACAACAAAUUCAGAUGUAAGCAGUCAGUCAUCUAUUGAGAGAAUUCUAUGAAAAUGUCUUGCCACUGUUGUUCAAAAGCAUGUUAUUUUUUACCUCUUCUAUGAAGAGAUUCAGCUGGUGUGAGUCUUAUGAUGUGACUGCCGCUCUACAAAUGUAGAAAGAAACUGAGGCAGAAGAGGAACAGCUUCAACAGAAAAACACAGGAUGUUGGUGUUUUUUCUUUCAGUGAGUUACACCCGUCAUCCUGGAAGGAGAAUUACAAUCCAAAGGAGUGACAGAACUAAAAGGUUUACCACCAGCUUUUUUAAAAAAACAUAAAAAGCUUUGAAGAUGGCGACGCAUAAGCAUCCUAAACCCAGCUCUUCCCACCAACACACGGGAUUUACAGCUGCAUAUGGAACAACUGCCUCUGAGAAUACCUGAAAACUGGCUGAGUGAUGUCUGCGCACUAACCACGAGAGAAGGCCCGCAUCGAAGCAGGAACCAUCUCUCCCCAGCUACCUUGCUUCAGCCAGUUGGUACCAUCUGCAUGCCCACCUUCUGCCAUGCUCCAGAGCACCAGCAUCUCCCUGAGGGGAGCUGUCACACAUCAGGCAUAGAAACCUACCUUGCAGCCUUAAAUCUAGAAAACUGAAAUUCUCAGAGAGAUUCUCAACAACUCACAGGGACUCUUGACUCCUGAAUCUCAUCCCAGUGUCUUAUUCAGUUUUUAUGAUAUCAAAUCAUACCCAGGUUACUGGGUGCCGUGGCUCUUUUUCCAAUAUUCACCUUGAAAAUAGGAACCCUCCACUGAAAUAUUAGAGGAGUCUCAGAUACAGUUAAAAAGACAGAUGGUGGUGGGGCUUCCCUGGUCAAGAAUCCUCCUGCCCUUGCAGGAGACACGGUUUUGAUCCCUGAUCUGGGAAGAUCCCACAUGUUGCAGAGCAACGAAGCCCAUGCGCCACAACUGCUGAGACUGUGCUCCAGAGCCCAGGAGCCACAGCCGCUGACGCCCGCGCGCCUAGAGACUGUUCUGCAACAGGCGAAGCCGCCAGAAUGAGGAGCCUGCACGCCGCAGCUGGAGAGUAGCCCCCACUCGCCGCAACCAGAGAAAAGUCUACGCAGCAACCAAGACCCAGGACAGCCGAAAAUAAGUGAAUACAGACUUAAAAGGGAAAUAAAGUCUGUUUUGUCUGAAGUAAGGAUUGCUACCCCAGUGUUUAAACAAAAAAGACAGAUGGACAGCAUUUAAGACAGUAUAUUUUCUUUUAAAAAGUAAGAAGUAAGUAUUUGCUACCCCCAUUGUUUUCAAAAAAAUAAAAG
Molecule: long non-coding RNA, 1719 nt
Organism: Dama dama (fallow deer)
Lineage: Eukaryota; Metazoa; Chordata; Mammalia; Artiodactyla; Cervidae
Exons: 6
Source: RefSeq, a predicted model, not a curated record